RNAcentral lists this long non-coding RNA (693 nucleotides) under Anser brachyrhynchus (Pink-footed goose). RNAcentral's name for it is "lncRNA (ENSABRG00000007611.1)". Lineage: Eukaryota; Metazoa; Chordata; Aves; Anseriformes; Anatidae. The record is from RNAcentral.
GAAAACAUAGCUUACUUUAUUUCCUGGGUAACUGCUUGGUGCAAAAAUACUGACCCAAGGAAAUCAUGACAUGGGACAGUUGAACUAUUUAUCUGCAUAAUUUUCAUUUUGUUCUUUCUGGUUUCUUUUUGGUUUAGGGAAAUGUAAACAUUGUGUUUCUUCUGAGCACAGUAUAAGCAUUUCUUCACAUCAUCAAUGAAAGCUUAAAGGCACUUCCAAAAGACUGGAGAGGAGUUCACGGUGGUGAAAAACGUCACAUUGCUGUGAGGUACGGUGCAAAUUCUGCUGGAUUCUGGUCUUCUGUUGAAAGUAGUAGUCCAUUCACUAUUGACUCUGGAGCUACAAUGUUUGUAUCACUGCCACUCUGUUAGCCUCAGAAAGGGGCUGGGAGAAAGUAUUACUAAUAUUUGCAGUUACAGUUGACUAUUGUCCAUGUGCACCCUCAAGGCAGGACUAUUUUUUUCUCAUUAACUUCCUGGUCAUAUGCAGCUUUGGCAGGUGGGGGAUGAAAAUGUAAAUGUUAGGGUAGCCAGACAAACACAUCUGGAAAGCUGCCUUGCAUGAAGAGAUGUUCCUUUGCACAAAUUCAGAAGGCCUCUUUGAAUAGAUAAUGACUGGAUCACCCUACUUAAUGACUUUAACUUUCAUGUCAGAGGAAUCAAUGGUUUUGAGGAUAGGAACUAAAGUUCCAUU